This is a non-coding RNA of Triticum aestivum (bread wheat), 135 nucleotides long. The record is from Rfam. NCBI's taxonomy places the organism in Eukaryota, Viridiplantae, Streptophyta, Magnoliopsida, Poales, Poaceae.
UAUGUACUCCCUCCGUCCCAAAAUUAUUGUCUAAGAUUUGUUUAGAUACGGAUGUAUCUAAUACUAAAUCAUAACUAGAUACAUCUGUAUUUAGACAAAUCUAAGACAAGAAUUUUGAGACGGAGGGAGUAUAUU